Rattus rattus (black rat) is the source of this 1324-nucleotide long non-coding RNA. RefSeq lists it as uncharacterized. The record is from RefSeq and is a predicted model, not a curated record. The transcript has 4 exons. Lineage: Eukaryota; Metazoa; Chordata; Mammalia; Rodentia; Muridae.
UUUUGAUAGUAAACAAAACAGGUUUCAAGAAAUUUGCAUGAGAUCUCAACCUGUUCAUUUUAAUGACCCUAUAAGCCAAUUCUAUGAUCAAAACUAGGAUUUCACUUUAGGUAAAGCAAAUUAGUAGACUCAUUAAGGUAAAGUUGCUGUGUUACAGAAUUCAAAGUAUAACUACAGGAUGAGGAAUUAGCAUAGUUAAACAUGAUAUAAUUGGAAAUUUAUAGUGUUUUUAAAUACAUUGCAUGAUCAGAGGAAAAUGUUCUUUUCCUCCAUAGAGCCUCAUUCUGCUCUGGUCUAGACUUUCGUAGAUGUCAGGCUGGGCUCAAAACUCCAAAAAUAAAUCCAGUCUUCCAGAUUCUGGGAUUAGACAUGAACCACCACAACCAGCUUGCUAAAAUAGUAUUUAUAAGUUAAAUGAGCUAGAUAAAAGCAAGUGUGGGUUUAUUUUGAAUGCUUUGGAAACCAGACCAAGAAUGGCCUCUUUUAAGUAGUUCAGCUAUAGAUUGAAAUGUAAAAACAAUUUUUGCCUUACGCAGGCUUGUGUUUGAACACUAGAGAGCACAGUGUUUGUAAAGGGUAUAGUAGGUUUUAAGACUUAGGAAGUAGGGCUAUACCCAUACUGACAAUUUUUUUUGGAACUACAAAUACUACUUUGAUUUCCACCCCUCCCCUUCUCUGUUCCCUUAGGAUAUUGUAGGGAACCUAUGAUUAGUUUUUCUAACCAAGAAAGCACUUAAAUCUCUUUAAGCAAGUACUUUCAUAACAUCUGAUUGAGUAACCCCAACUUGCUGUUCAGCUCAUCCUACUGGAGACAAAGUUUGAAAGAGCAGCUAAAGAGAAGUGUCUAUACAUGGGAGGAGAGCGCAAACAUACAUAGAGACCUUGAAGGUGAAUCUUCUAAGGCAGGGAAGAAGCAGAGACUUCUAUCCAUUGAAUCAAAAUGCAAGAACAUACCAUGUCCAAGGCUGACCAGUUCUCUGGUGGUUACUGCUACUGAUCCAUCCAAACUGCUGGACUUCUUCAUACCCAAGGUCUUCAGGCAGUAUCUAAUGGGAAGUCAACUUAAAGGAACCAGACCAUCAUUUCCCAGCCCGCCCUUUUAUUCUGUAGCUACCUCUAUGUGAGGAAAGGAUAGAAAACAUUCAAGACAUCAUACGGGCUUACGAUCUACAGAUUCCAACCAGUAGCAGUGGCUGACUCCUACACAGAAGACUGGGAACUACAAACAGGCUGGACAUGACAUCUGACGCUGUCCAACCAGAAGUCUGACUUGUGUGUUGCAGGAAUUGAAGAAUGUACUAAAAGACUAAAAUAUUUCGUCUCU